CCUGAUGCAGCCAUGCCGCGUGUGUGAAGAAGGCCUUCGGGUUGUAAAGCACUUUCAGCAGUGAGGAAGGUAGUGUACUUAAUACGUGCAUUGCUUGACGUUAGCUGCAGAAGAAGCACCGGCUAACUCCGUGCCAGCAGCCGCGGUAAUACGGAGGGUGCGAGCGUUAAUCGGAAUUACUGGGCGUAAAGCGCAUGCAGGCGGUUUGUUAAGUCAGAUGUGAAAGCCCGGGGCUCAACCUCGGAACCGCAUUUGAAACUGGCAGGCUAGAGUCUUGUAGAGGGGGGUAGAAUUUCAGGUGUAGCGGUGAAAUGCGUAGAGAUCUGAAGGAAUACCAGUGGCGAAGGCGGCCCCCUGGACAAAGACUGACGCUCAGAUGCGAAAGCGUGGGUAGCAAACAGGAUUAGAUACCCUGGUAGUCCACGCCGUAAACGAUGUCUACUUGGAGGCUGAGGUUUAAGACUUUGGCUUUCGGAGCUAACGCAUUAAGUAGACCGCCUGGG
This 503-nucleotide ribosomal RNA is filed under the name Salinivibrio costicola. RNAcentral's name for it is "bacterial SSU rRNA". It matches the Rfam family "Bacterial small subunit ribosomal RNA", at positions 382 to 877 of the family's 1533-position model. The record is from RNAcentral. Lineage: Bacteria; Pseudomonadati; Pseudomonadota; Gammaproteobacteria; Vibrionales; Vibrionaceae.